GAAAUGCGAUAAGUAAUGUGAAUUGCAGAAUUCAGUGAAUCAUCGAAUUUUUGAACGCAUAUUGCGCCCUUUGGCAUUCCGAAGGGCAUACCUGUUCGAGCGUCAUUACACCUCUCAAACCUAGGUUUGAUGUUGGGCAUUGCUGUUAGGGCAUGCCUAAAAAUUAGCGAUGGUAACCUACAACCACAGGCGCACAGAUGUCGCAAUGAUGGAAGUUGGCCACCAGUCUUUAACUAAAUUUCUGAAUGUUGACCUCGGAUCAGGUAGGGAUACCCGCUGAACUUAA
This 286-nucleotide unclassified non-coding RNA is filed under the name uncultured Ascomycota. RNAcentral's name for it is "sequence contains ITS1". The stretch from base 1 to 105 matches the Rfam family "5.8S ribosomal RNA", at positions 50 to 154 of the family's 154-position model. The record is from RNAcentral. Lineage: Eukaryota; Fungi; Ascomycota.